CCUGAUAUCUUAAUCCGAGCUUGCCGGAGGUCUUCCGAGUUGAAGUUUGAAGAACAAGGGAAUGUCUUAUGAGUCAGUAAUGGACACAAAACUAUCGCUUCCAUCACUCCCUUAUCAUCAUCACCAUCAUCAUCAUCAUCAUCAUCAUCGUCAUCCAUCUCCAGUUUGGAAUAGUUACUUGGAGCAUCUUUGAUACUCCCAUGGUGGUGCUCUGCUGGCCUCAGAUGGAAUCGUUGCCAUCAAUAGGCUUGGGCCAUUUGGUGCCAUUGAUCAACCAUUGCCCGUCCUCUGGAGAUGCGGAUGGAUGGUUAGCGAAGUCUUGUGUCCAACACCGACGCAAAAGACUCUCUCUUUGGAAACGAUUGCGGAGGAUGACUCGCCUGAGGGCGAUGAUUGUCUGCCGUGGGUGCGGCGGAACGGUGAACAUCGAACGGCCAAGAUGACAUGCCCCUAUUUCAUUCCUACCAGCGAAUGCUCGUCGCACCGCUGCAUGCGCCCAGGGGAUUUUUUUUUCCCUCCCGUGAUUGUCUAUGAGAAGAAAUUUAGAAUUUUACACUACAGUAAUUUCGCUCAUCAACCCCCAAUGUGUUUGCAUAGUUCUGGUGAUGUAAGAACAUUUGAUUAAGAUUAAAGUUCUGGUGAUGUGAAUAUUUGAUCGGACUCCUAUGUUAUCGUUAUUUCUCA
Long non-coding RNA from Macadamia integrifolia, 684 nucleotides. RefSeq lists it as uncharacterized. The transcript has 2 exons. The record is from RefSeq and is a predicted model, not a curated record. NCBI's taxonomy places the organism in Eukaryota, Viridiplantae, Streptophyta, Magnoliopsida, Proteales, Proteaceae.